GACGGGCAGGCAGGGGGCGUGGAGAGGCCGCCAGAGAGCAGCCUGUCCGCCGCACAGAGCUGCUGGCGGAGGGGGGCGGUGGUGGAAGCUGAUCGCGGCGGCAGAGCUGCGACGGUGCGUAGCUCGCCGGGACUCCUCCGUGGCCAGCCGCCGUCUGUCACUCCUCUCGCCGGGGGCUCGUCGUUCGCGUGACAUCACCGCGGAAUGGGAGAGAGCGGAUUCGUCGUGUUGCACACUUCCACCUGCGCGGACCUGGUCGCGUGAUGCGACCGAGAGGAGCUGCCGCGUCGACCGGGGGCGGAAACAUUUGAUGCUUCGGGACCGGUUCUGGUCGGAGGAGCUAGUUCGCUAGCGCGGAGCUAGCGGCGGUGCUCGCCACUUCGAACGGUUGCCUUUUUUUUCUUCUUCUCGCCAGGAUGUUACGGUGGAUACGACAGCAGCUGGGCUUCGACCCUCCUCAUCAGAGCGAGACCAGAACGAUUUAUGUAGCAAACCGCUUCCCGCAGCAUGGCCACUACGUACCCCAGCGCUUUGCAGACAACAGGAUCAUCUCAUCCAAGUACACGAUUUGGAACUUUGUCCCCAAGAAUCUGUUUGAGCAGUUCAGGAGAAUAGCCAACUUCUAUUUUCUCAUCAUCUUCCUUGUACAGUUAAUGAUAGAUACCCCGACUUCCCCAAUCACCAGCGGCCUGCCUCUUUUCUUUGUGAUCACAGUAACUGCCAUAAAACAGGGCUACGAGGACUGGCUGAGGCACAAGGCGGACAACGAGGUGAACGGGGCUCCGGUGUUCGUGGUCCGCAGCGGGAGCCUGGUCCAGACAAGAUCUAAAAACAUCAGGGUCGGGGACAUUGUCCGUGUUGCUAAAGAUGAAACUUUCCCCGUUGACCUGGUGCUGCUGUCAUCAGAUCGCGCAGACGGCACCUGUCACAUCACCACAACCAGCCUCGAUGGAGAGACCAACCUCAAGACCCACUACUCAGUGGGGGAGACAGCAGUGUGUCAGUCAGUGUCCCAAUUGGAGGCUCUGCAGGCCGUGGUUGAGUGUCAACAACCAGACGCCGACCUGUACAGGUUUGUUGGUCGGAUCACGGUGACUCAGCAUGGGGAGGAGAUAGUCAGACCUCUGGGUCCAGAGAAUUUGCUGCUGCGAGGCGCCAGGUUGAAAAAUACCAAAGAGAUUUUUGGUGUGGCGGUUUACACUGGGAUGGAGUCCAAGAUGGCGCUCAACUAUAAGUGCAAGUCCCAGAAACGCUCUGCGGUGGAGAAGUCCAUGAAUACCUUCCUGCUCAUCUACCUGUGCAUCCUGCUGUUCGAGGCCAUCCUCAGCACCAUCCUGAAGUACGCCUGGCAGGCCGAGGACAAGUGGGACGAGCCUUUCUACAACCAAAAGACGGAGCAAGAGAGAAACAGCAGUCCGAUCUUGAAGUUCAUCUCAGACUUCUUGGCAUUCAUGGUCCUCUACAACUUCAUCAUCCCCAUCUCGCUCUACGUCACCGUGGAGAUGCAGAAGUUCCUAGGCUCCUUUUUCAUUUGCUGGGAUUUGGACCUUUACCACGAGGAAAGCGACCAGAAAGCUCAGGUCAACACCUCCGACCUCAACGAGGAGCUGGGGCAGGUGGAGUAUGUUUUCACAGAUAAGACGGGUACGCUAACUGAAAACGAGAUGCAGUUUCGCGAAUGUUCAAUCAACGGAACAAAGUACCGGGAGGUUAAUGGCAAACUGGUACCGGAGGGAAUGACUGACGAUUCACCAGAUGGUUCUUUGCCUCAGCUGAUGGGCGAGGAGUUGUUGUUUCUCAAGGCGGUGUCAUUGUGUCACACGGUCCAGAUCAGCUACGACCAGCCCGACUGCCUGGGCGGGGGAGGAGACCCAUUCGCCCAUGCAAACGGUUUCUCCUCCAAUCACAUGGAAUACUACGCCUCCUCCCCGGACGAGAAGGCGUUAGUGGAGGCAGCGAAGAGAAUCGGAGUGGCCUUCACCCGCUGCAGUGGAGAAACCAUGGAAAUCAAAACAUUUGGACAGUCAGAGAAGUAUAAACUGCUGCAUGUGUUAGAGUUUGAUGCUGACCGCAGGAGGAUGAGCGUCAUCCUACAGACUCCCUCAGGAGGCCAAGUGCUGUUCACCAAGGGAGCAGAGUCGGCCAUCUUGCCUUUCACCACCAGUGGGGAGAUAGAGAAGACGAGACUGCACGUUGAUGAGUUUGCACUGAAAGGUUUGCGGACCCUGGUGGUAGCAUGUCGCCACUUCAGCCCAGAGGAGUACAUCGAAGUGGACAGGUGUCUGAACAGUGCCCGCACCGCGCUGCAGCAGAGGGAGGAGCGCCUGCAGGAGGCCUUCAGCUACACGGAGAGAGACCUGCAGCUCCUGGGAGCAACGGGGGUGGAGGACAAACUCCAAGACAAAGUCCAGGAGACCAUUGAGGCCCUGCGCCUGGCAGGGAUCAAAGUAUGGGUGCUGACGGGGGACAAACACGAGACGGCGGUCAGCGUCAGCCUGUCCUGUGGCCAUUUCCACAGAACCAUGAACAUCCUGGAGCUUCUGCAGCAGCGCUCCGACAACGAGUGCGCCGAGCAGCUCCGCCGACUGGACAGGAGGAUAAAGGAGGACCAUGUCAUACAGCACGGCCUGGUCGUGGAUGGGGCCAGUCUGUCUCUGGCAUUGAGGAAGCACGAGAAGCUCUUCAUGGAAGUGUGUAAAAACUGUUCCGCCGUGCUGUGCUGCCGCAUGGCGCCACUGCAGAAGGCAAAGGUGGUACGUCUUUUCAAAACAUCUCCAGAGAAACCCAUCACCUUAGCUAUUGGGGAUGGAGCCAAUGAUGUCAGUAUGAUACAGGAAGCCCAUGUGGGCAUAGGUAUCAUGGGGAAGGAGGGUCGUCAGGCCGUGCGAAACAGUGACUAUGCAAUUGCCAGGUUUAAGUUCCUGGCUAAACUCCUCCUGGUCCACGGUCACUUCUACUACAUUCGAAUAGCUACGCUUGUACAGUACUUUUUCUACAAGAAUGUGUGUUUUAUUACACCCCAGUUUUUAUACCAGUUCUUCUGUUUGUUUUCACAACAAACUCUGUACGACAGUGUUUAUCUGACACUGUACAACAUCUGCUUCACCUCGUUGCCCAUACUGGUGUACAGUCUGUUUGAACAGCUGGUCCACCCACACGUUCUGCAGAAUAAACCGGGCCUGUACAGGGACAUCAGCAGGAACUCUCUGCUGUCUUUUCGGACCUUCCUGUACUGGACCCUGUUGGGCUUCUGUCACGCCUUCGUCUUCUUCUUUGGAUCGUACAUCCUGAUGGGAGAAGACACCACACUUAUGGGCAAUGGACAGAUGUUUGGAAACUGGACGUUUGGAACGCUGGUCUUCACAGUUAUGGUCAUCACUGUCACCUUAAAGCUCGCUUUAGAGACUCAUUUCUGGACGUGGAUGAACCAUUUUGUGACAUGGGGUUCAAUCGCCUUCUACUUCAUCUUCUCUCUCUUCUACGGAGGCAUCAUCUGGCCAUUCCUCCACACCCAGGACAUGUACUUUGUGUUCAUGCAGCUGCUAUCCAGCGGUUCUGCCUGGUUCGCCAUCAUCAUCAUCGUCAUAACUUGCCUCUUUCCCGACGUGGUGAAGAAGGUCUUCUACCGACACCUGCAGCCCACCAGCACACAGAAGAAUCAGUCUCUACCAGCCCCCGCGGAGACCCUCAGCUGUGUGGAGUCCCUGUGCUGCUACCAGCAUGGGCAGAGCGGCUGUUCCCGCCUGGCCCGCUUCCUGGAGCAAAUGACGGGCCAGUGCCAGGCCGGUGCCAGCCAUUGCCAGGCGUCCGGCCGCAACAACAGGUGGGGAGGACCGCGAAGCCUACUAACAAUGGUUACGAAACCUGACGAUCCGCCUCCACCUCUCGGUUUCUAAAAUUUAGGCUGCAGUCCCGACUGCUCUAGGCCCUAACGGGGCCACAACGAAACUGUCUUGGAGCGACAGCGAGAACUUCUACUCCAACGACCGCAGCAUCCUGACGCUGUCGCCCAUCGAGGCCACCCACUGCUGACUCCCCGGGGUGGUCCCGCGGACCGUAGCGCCACAGAGCCGCGACUCUGCUUAUUCGUCCAGAAUCUCACACGUCUGCCGCCGCCGCCGCCACCACCAUUGUACAUUCAAUUUUUAAACUCAACGCAGUUGCAGCUCGAUGCGACGCGGAACUCGAAACGGGAGCCGUAGCGUCGCAUCGCUCGAAAACCAAAGGACUCGGCUCGUUGCCCGGUGACGUCGCACAUUCUCGGGGGGGGGAAUGAGGUUGAGCGGCGACUUCAAAGGAAGUGAAAAGUGGGAUGGGCCAGCACGACACGAAGCAAACACCCGUGGACCUACUCCUGUAUCAAAACCAUCAAGUCAGCAUGUGAGCAGCGACAAUUAUAGGACUGAGGCCUGCAGAACAAUCCGACAAAACGUUUAAAUUCAAUACCUUGAGAAGCGGUUAGAGAAGUCGUACUGAAGCAGCUCCCACGUGAGCCCCUCCCUCCUGCAGUCAGUUCCCAAACAUAUUUUUAUUUCUCGCAGCUGGCAUUAAUAAGACCCCGCACAUUGGUAGCCAGAGAACAGAGACUCCUGGUGGUCUGGCAUCAGACGACCGGCCGCCCUCAGCAUCAGCAGCCUUCUACCCCGCUGGUUUGGUCACGUUGACCUUCCCCGCCCGCAGGAGCCGAGGUCGCCUGUUCGACGUCGCAGACCAGGAUCAUCCGCGUAGCAGCGGGAAGCUCAACAGAGUCGGACUACGUGGACGACGGCAUGUCGGUCGACGUCGUCGUCGUCGUCGCGUUGUUUCCAUAAAACCUCUUUGUCUCUUCGAGCCUCCUGCGAUUCCGCUGCACCGCCCACCCGCACAGCCCCCGCAGCAUCCAGAACCAGAAGAGUUCUGCCGACCUUGUUCCCCUCGGACCGACGACAACUCGGCUCCGUAGCCGUACGCGGAGCUUUCGUCUCUACCGUGGCACCAAAGACCAAAGGAUUUUCCGGCUGGAGUUUCGCAGGAAAAGUGUUUAUUUUUGUGCCUGACUGUACAGAAGCUUAUACUGUUAUUGUUCGUGCUGCUUGCUCUCGUUCCGACAGCACCGGGGCGUCCGUCUCCCUAAAAGGACGCCAGAUGGGAGGUCUGUUUAAAAAGCCAUACACGUUUCUCGAGAGGUUAUUUUAUUGAAGGUACCGCAGACGGAAGCUGCCGGAGCCUGUGGUCACUUUGUACUAUGUUCCCGUCGAAUGCCUUUUUCCCCGUCGGCCUGGUUCGUUAAAAGCAUCUCGGCAUUUCAGACCAUGACGUCACGGAUAUCAGAACAUCUGUCCAAACACAAUUCCAAGUGGAAAAUCCCCCUUUUAGUGUCCUAAAAGUGAUCCACAGAGGAUCCGAUCAGCUAACGGUUCCAUUUUGAUUUCAGCGAGACGGAAUGGCGAGAUGCUUUUUUACCAAAUCGCGGCCGACGCACGUCGCACCAGACGGCAGAAUGUCUCUAUCUCCGGAGAGAUGGAUUUAUCAGAUGAAUAUGAAUAUAUAUGAUUCAGCUUCGAGAGAAGAGAUGAACAGGAAAAGAGGAGCGUUUGCACAUGAGUCACAUAUCAAAAAUCAUAUUUCCUUUUGCUUCUCAAAUCAUUGCUCAUCUGACAUCAAUCGAAUUCACUUUUGUGUGUGUGUGUGUGUGUGUGUGUGUGUGUGUGUGUGUGUGUGUGUGUGUGUGUGUGUGUGUGUGUGUGUGUGUGUGUGUGUGUGUGUGUGUGUGUGUGUGUGUGUGUGUGUGUGUGUGUGUGUGUGUGUGUGUGUGUGUGUGUGUGUGUGUGUGUGUGUGUGUGGCGGCGGCAGCAGCAGCAGCAGCUUUGUCGUCACGUCAAGUGUUUCUCUUUCUUCGAUGUGUGUUUGCGAUGUAAAAGUAGGAAAAUCUAUAUAUUUUAGGAGAAUAUCCAGGUGAGAGAAGCGAAAGGUGGAAACCGUCUCCAAGACAACCGUUUUAAACUUGACAUCAACGAACCACACAGUGGCGAGCGAUACACUUCAUGCGUCGUGGGAUGUUUCAUCGUAGUCUGAGUUCAAUGUUCUCGAUGUUUAUUUUCAAUACGAUACGUUGUUUGAUGCUCACUGUACCUGGGGCCCUGUCGAUAUCUUUUCUGUUCACACAGGUACAAAUGACAAAAGUGUAUAUUUAUUGUUGCAGUACUGUUUUUUGUUUUUUUUCUGUGUUUUGUCGCACCUUUCUUGCAUAUCGAUAAAUCUGUUCUCCCCCAAGACGUUAAACUUGAUCUGUGAUCAGGAGGCUGAAGCUCCGAGGUAACCAGGAAGUUCAUGUUACAAUACCUUUUUUUCACAGAACAGAUACUGGUCAUCGUUCUCCCCAUAUUUAAUCAGGAAAUCUUUUUUCUUCUCUUUCUUUCUUUCUUUUUAACCAUUUGACCUCACAUUUGAUAUUAAAUGUCUACUUGGAUGAACCUGAGACACCUGUGAUCUGUACCUGGAUUUGGGAAAACGACCUGUCAAUGCUGUUUGAAAAGGGCCGAUCCACCGAUUCUACACUUGACGGCCUUUUUAUAUGUCAAUCUUACAACUGCCCGGCCUGUGAAACAUUGUGAUUUUGGCUCGACAUAUGAAAAAUAUGAGGAAAACCCUCUGUUAAUAUAAACUCAAGAGUGUGGACUUUGAAAGGUGAGAAGAUGAGGGCAGUUAAAAAGGGGCAGGGGAGGUUUAAAGAAAAGACAAGCUUUAAUUGCAUUAUGGGAAAUUUAGGAUCCAGCAUUAUUGGAGCUCAACUAGGAUUAUGGUUUAUCUCCUCCUUUGCUGCAUUAAUAUUGACAGCACUUGUUCUUCCACAAGUCCUCUAACUUUAGAGUUUGACUUGAAAACAUUAAAAAGAAGACGACGAUCAGUCGAUGCAGGAGAAUCAAAAGUUGCCAGGAUAAAGAAAGACUCAUUCAUAUUCCAUAAAGAAAAAAUCAACGGCGUCUUUUAUUAAACCUUCCAUAUGUGGUAAAGGGUCCGACGCCCCCUUGUGCUCAGCUACGGAAGCCCAAAGUGUUCGAGGCUGAAGAAAGACAAACGUAAUCACCUCACUUGUCAUAUUGAUGAUGAUUCAUGUGCGGCAAUACAGACAGUGAGUGUGACAAGUAGAAGUUAUAUGAUUGACAUUAAAAAUUACAAUUAACUACAAGAGAUACAUGACGACCACAUAAAUACCAAAACAUAUAAUAAAAAUGUUUUUUAUUUAUUUUUCAUUGACAGAAAUACUGACUUGAUUAAAAGGGGCAUUACAAAAAAACAUUUUAAAAUGAAAACCUGGAAAUGAAUGAGCUUAUUUUGAAAAGAAGCAGGAUUGAGUAACAUUUAAUUAAUGAUAAUAAUCUUCGUUUCUCAGUUGAAUAAUAAUAAAUUUGAACACUGUUUUUUUGGCCCUGGCAUGUUUUUUUUUAUGUAAUUGGGGCCCAAAUAGCACUCAUUUGAUAUUUUUCUAUAAUUUAUUUUAAUUUAUUUGCAGAAAACGGAUACAAAAGGAUAAACAUCUUUUUUAAAGCUCAGAUGUGAAAUUGGAUACAUCCUUGACCUGAUUCUCUGAAGCACUGAUGUCACCUGCGCAGCGGCAGUGUUCAGGUUACCUCUAGUUAUUUCUAGAAGCAGGAGAUUACUCAGCCACAUAAUUAUAAUUUUUUUUUUUAAAGAUCAUUUAAUAUUUUGUCACAGUGUCGUCCAUCAGAAGACCCAUCCUGGUUUAAUUGAAUCUUAUUUAAGACACUGAAGAGCUGUUUGAAUUCCGGCUACUGCUGCUGCCUCCUGCUUCCCGGCCGUAUAUUGGAUAUAUGUGAAAGUCCAGCAUCAGGUCGUGUCUCUCCUCCGAAAUAUGAAAAGUCUAAACUUUUGUUCUGUGCUUUUAUAUGUAAAACGACCCACUGUCUGUGAUAUUUGGUCCUGGACUGUUCAGUGAACAUAAAUCUGUCAAUCUUCACCCAGAAUGUCCAUGAGACCCAUUUGGUGACGUCAGUGCAGAGGAGGAACUCGCCGGCUGUUCGCAGACUUGAAUCAAAUUACGGUUUCCCAUAAUCAGAUCAGCCGAGAACAGGAGUCUAGAUUAAAAUGUCAACCGAUCAGUUCAGCGCUGUGACUCAGCAUCUCCCUGUCAGACUCCUCGUCCUCGUCCUCCACUUCAGUAAAUCAGGCUUCACCGCGUGAUUAGUAAACCAUCAUCAUCCCUCUUCAGUUGCUCUGUCUUGUCUGUCCUCUUCCUCCUCUUGUCCACGAAUCUGUCUUAUUAUAGCUGAUGUUUAUGAAGAUGCUGUUCUAUUUACGAAAUUAAAAAAAAACACAUUUUUAAGAAACAAA
Scophthalmus maximus (turbot) is the source of this 8331-nucleotide RNA transcript. It is a transcript of the gene named ATPase phospholipid transporting 11B (putative), with no coding region annotated. The record is from RefSeq and is a predicted model, not a curated record. Lineage: Eukaryota; Metazoa; Chordata; Actinopteri; Pleuronectiformes; Scophthalmidae. The transcript has 30 exons.